AAGUGACUUCUGGUCAUUUUAGGUAUGAAUGAAGAGACACCAUUGAAGUGAGAGAUCUUGGACUUGGGCUCUUCCCAGAUUUCUGAGGGAAAGGGUGCUAAUGGGGCAAAAGAAUUUAAAUACAUAAAAGGAAUUGAAUCCAAGAGAAAUGAAGAAGAAAAGCUGAAGGCAGAAGACAUGUAAAUAAGAUGUAAACACACAGGUACUGUUUCUUUGAAAUAUAUUGACAUAAAAUCUCCCUUUUUAUACU
RNAcentral lists this long non-coding RNA (250 nucleotides) under Monodelphis domestica (gray short-tailed opossum). RNAcentral describes it as "lncRNA (ENSMODG00000039330.1)". Lineage: Eukaryota; Metazoa; Chordata; Mammalia; Didelphimorphia; Didelphidae. The record is from RNAcentral.